Molecule: ribosomal RNA, 534 nt
Filed under: uncultured Acidimicrobiaceae bacterium
Lineage: Bacteria; Bacillati; Actinomycetota; Acidimicrobiia; Acidimicrobiales; Acidimicrobiaceae
Description: bacterial SSU rRNA
Rfam family: Bacterial small subunit ribosomal RNA
Source: RNAcentral
GUGAGGAACCUGCCCCGAUCUCUGGGAUAACAGUGGGAAACCGCUGCUAAUACCAGAUGGGCUCGGAUGACGACAUCGUCGACCGAGGAAAGCUUUUGCGGACCGGGAGGGCCUCGCGGCCUAUCAGCUUGUUGGUGGGGUAACGGCCUACCAAGGCAUCGACGGGUAGCUGGUCUGAGAGGACGACCAGCCACACUGGGACUGAGACACGGCCCAGACUCCUACGGGAGGCAGCAGUAGGGAAUCUUGCGCAAUGGGCGAAAGCCUGACGCAGCAACGCCGCGUGGGGGAUGAAGGCCCUCGGGUUGUAAACCCCUUUCAGCAGGAACGAAUCUGACGGUACCUGCAGAAGAAGGUCCGGCCAACUACGUGCCAGCAGCCGCGGUAACACGUAGGGGCCAAGCGUUGUCCGGAUUUAUUGGGCGUAAAGAGCUCGUAGGCGGUUCGACAAGUCGGGUGUGAAAACUCCGGGCUCAACCCGGAGACGCCACCCGAUACUGUCGUGACUGGAGUCCGGUAGGGGAGUGGGGAAUU